Molecule: long non-coding RNA, 447 nt
Filed under: Setaria viridis
Lineage: Eukaryota; Viridiplantae; Streptophyta; Magnoliopsida; Poales; Poaceae
Description: long non-coding RNA (SVIR_LNC010780)
Source: RNAcentral
GAAGAGUUACAACGAGAAGCCACGAAGGGUUGUAAGAAAAAUGUUUUCAUGCACACUCCUUUGCGACAAACACUUGAAGGGGGGGUCCGAAGAGAAAAUAAAGGUCUUUGCCCCAAAAGAUGCUUUGCAUGAAUACAAUGAUGAAGUGAUAAACAAACCACAAUAUAAGAACAUAACAACAAGUCACAAUUAUUCACAAGUAAACUUAUCACAUUUUUAUUACAUCAACUCAAUCCUCAUUCAUUACAAUCUCACAAGCCUCGGCUAAUACACAAAGAAUAGCAAUGUCAACGAUGCUCUCGGCCGUAACCCACAACUCUUCUUCGAAGGGCAUUUUUCCUGCAUCUUGUAUAUUAAUACACAAAAGGGUCAUUAGUGUCUUCUAUAUGAAUGGAGCAUUCGUUGAAUUCUCCACCUAUAUAUUAUCUACAUCAUCUAGAGACGAAG